This 402-nucleotide ribosomal RNA is filed under the name bacterium enrichment culture clone ALO1_GLFRUDD03HCLKX. RNAcentral describes it as "bacterial SSU rRNA". It matches the Rfam family "Bacterial small subunit ribosomal RNA", at positions 9 to 410 of the family's 1533-position model. The record is from RNAcentral.
GAGUUUGAUCAUGGCUCAGAUUGAACGCUGGCGGCAUGCCUUACACAUGCAAGUCGAACGGCAGCACGGGAGCUUGCUCCUGGUGGCGAGUGGCGAACGGGUGAGUAAUGCAUCGGAACGUAUCCUGGAGUGGGGGAUAACGUAGCGAAAGUUACGCUAAUACCGCAUAUUCUGUGAGCAGGAAAGCGGGGGACCUUCGGGCCUCGCGCUCUUGGAGCGGCCGAUGUCGGAUUAGCUAGUUGGUGAGGUAAGGGCUCACCAAGGCGACGAUCCGUAGCAGGUCUGAGAGGAUGAUCUGCCACACUGGAACUGAGACACGGUCCAGACUCCUACGGAGGCAGCAGUGGGGAAUUUUGGACAAUGGGGGGCAACCCUGAUCCAGGCCAUGCCGCGUGAGUGAAG